UUAAAUUGAAGAGUUUGAUCAUGGCUCAGAUUGAACGCUGGCGGCAGGCCUAACACAUGCAAGUCGAACGGUAACAGGAAGAAGCUUGCUUCUUUGCUGACGAGUGGCGGACGGGUGAGUAAUGUCUGGGAAACUGCCUGAUGGAGGGGGAUAACUACUGGAAACGGUAGCUAAUACCGCAUAACGUCGCAAGACCAAAGAGGGGGACCUUCGGGCCUCUUGCCAUCGGAUGUGCCCAGAUGGGAUUAGCUAGUAGGUGGGGUAACGGCUCACCUAGGCGACGAUCCCUAGCUGGUCUGAGAGGAUGACCAGCCACACUGGAACUGAGACACGGUCCAGACUCCUACGGGAGGCAGCAGUGGGGAAUAUUGCACAAUGGGCGCAAGCCUGAUGCAGCCAUGCCGCGUGUAUGAAGAAGGCCUUCGGGUUGUAAAGUACUUUCAGCGGGGAGGAAGGGAGUAAAGUUAAUACCUUUGCUCAUUGACGUUACCCGCAGAAGAAGCACCGGCUAACUCCGUGCCAGCAGCCGCGGUAAUACGGAGGGUGC
This 547-nucleotide ribosomal RNA is filed under the name Escherichia coli. RNAcentral describes it as "bacterial SSU rRNA". It matches the Rfam family "Bacterial small subunit ribosomal RNA", at positions 1 to 535 of the family's 1533-position model. The record is from RNAcentral. Lineage: Bacteria; Pseudomonadati; Pseudomonadota; Gammaproteobacteria; Enterobacterales; Enterobacteriaceae.